This is a non-coding RNA of Danio rerio (zebrafish), 82 nucleotides long. Lineage: Eukaryota; Metazoa; Chordata; Actinopteri; Cypriniformes; Danionidae. The record is from Rfam.
GACAAGGUGCCCGAGUGGUUAAGUUGAUGGACUGCUAAUCCAUUGUGCUCUGCACGUGUGGGUUCGAAUCCUAUCCUUGUUG